UACAGAGGUUGCAAGCGUUAAUCGGAUUUACUGGGCGUAAAGCGUGUGUAGGUGGUUGUACAAGUCGGUUGUGAAAUCCCUGGGCUCAACCUGGGAACUGCUUCCGAGACUGUACGACUAGAGAUCGGUAGAGGGCGGUGGAAUUUCCGGUGUAGCGGUGAAAUGCGUAGAUAUCGGAAGGAACACCAAUGGCGAGGGCAGCCGCCUGGGCCUGAUCUGACACUGAGACACGAAAGCGUGGGGAUCAAACAGG
RNAcentral lists this ribosomal RNA (253 nucleotides) under uncultured bacterium. Its description in RNAcentral is "partial 16S ribosomal RNA". It matches the Rfam family "Bacterial small subunit ribosomal RNA", at positions 524 to 776 of the family's 1533-position model. The record is from RNAcentral.